This 424-nucleotide ribosomal RNA is filed under the name uncultured prokaryote. Its description in RNAcentral is "bacterial SSU rRNA". It matches the Rfam family "Bacterial small subunit ribosomal RNA", at positions 355 to 796 of the family's 1533-position model. The record is from RNAcentral.
UGGGGAAUCUUGGACAAUGGGGGCAACCCUGAUCCAGCCAUGCCGCGUGGGUGAAGAAGGCCUUAGGGUUGUAAAGCCCUUUCAGUCGUGACGAUGAUGACGGUAGCGACAGAAGAAGCCCCGGCUAACUCCGUGCCAGCAGCCGCGGUAAUACGGAGGGGGCAAGCGUUGUUCGGAUUUACUGGGCGUAAAGGGCGCGUAGGCGGACGGUUAAGUCAGAGGUGAAAGGCCCGGGCUCAACCUGGGACGUGCACUUAAUACGGGCGGACUGGAAUCCGGCAGAGGAUGGUGGAAUUCCCAGUGUAGAGGUGAAAGUCGUAGAUAUUGGGAAGAACACCGAUGGCGAAGGCAGCCAUCUGGGCCGGCAUUGACGCUGAGGCGCGAAAGCGUGGGGAGCAAACAGGAUUAGAUACCCCCGUAGUCC